This 254-nucleotide ribosomal RNA is filed under the name uncultured bacterium. Its description in RNAcentral is "partial 16S ribosomal RNA". It matches the Rfam family "Bacterial small subunit ribosomal RNA", at positions 524 to 776 of the family's 1533-position model. The record is from RNAcentral.
CACGUAGGGUGCGAGCGUUGUCCGGAAUUAUUGGGCGUAAAGAGCUCGUAGGCGGUGUGUCGCGUCGGCCGUGAAAACCUGCAGCUUAACUGUGGGCGUGCGGUCGAUACGGGCAUCACUGGAGUUCGGCAGGGGAGACUGGAAUUCCUGGUGUAGCGGUGAAAUGCGCAGAUAUCAGGAGGAACACCGGUGGCGAAGGCGGAUCUCUGGGCCGAUACUGACGCUGAGGAGCGAAAGCGUGGGGAGCGAACAGG